UUGAAACCUUUAUAUAGAGACAGGGA
This 26-nucleotide non-coding RNA is filed under the name Mus musculus (house mouse). Lineage: Eukaryota; Metazoa; Chordata; Mammalia; Rodentia; Muridae. The record is from RNAcentral.